Molecule: ribosomal RNA, 445 nt
Filed under: uncultured bacterium
Lineage: Bacteria
Description: bacterial SSU rRNA
Rfam family: Bacterial small subunit ribosomal RNA
Source: RNAcentral
UCCAGACUCCUACGGGAGGCAGCAGUGGGGAAUAUUGCACAAUGGGGGAAACCCUGAUGCAGCGAUGCCGCGUGAGCGAUGAAGUAUUUCGGUAUGUAAAGCUCUCUCAGCAGGGAAGAAAAUGACGGUACCUGACUAAGAAGCCCCGGCUAACUACGUGCCAGCAGCCGCGGUAAUACGUAGGGGGCAAGCGUUAUCCGGAUUUACUGGGUGUAAAGGGAGCGUAGACGGCGAUGCAAGUCUGAAGUGAAAGCCCGGGGCUCAACCCCGGGACUGCUUUGGAAACUGUAUGGCUAGAGUGCUGGAGAGGCAAGCGGAAUUCCUAGUGUAGCGGUGAAAUGCGUAGAUAUUAGGAAGAACACCAGUGGCGAAGGCGGCUUGCUGGACAGUAACUGACGUUGAGGCUCGAAAGCGUGGGGAGCAAACAGGAUUAGAUACCCUAGUA